RNAcentral lists this ribosomal RNA (492 nucleotides) under uncultured bacterium. RNAcentral's name for it is "partial 16S ribosomal RNA". It matches the Rfam family "Bacterial small subunit ribosomal RNA", at positions 29 to 507 of the family's 1533-position model. The record is from RNAcentral.
AGUGAACGCUGGCGGUAGGCCUAACACAUGCAAGUCGAACGGCAGCACAGUAAGAGCUUGCUCUUACGGGUGGCGAGUGGCGGACGGGUGAGGAAUACAUCGGAAUCUACUUUUUCGUGGGGGAUAACGUAGGGAAACUUACGCUAAUACCGCAUACGACCUACGGGUGAAAGCAGGGGAUCUUCGGACCUUGCGCGAUUGAAUGAGCCGAUGUCGGAUUAGCUAGUUGGCGGGGUAAAGGCCCACCUAGGCGACGAUCCGUAGCUGGUCUGAGAGGAUGAUCAGCCACACGGGAACUGAGACACGGUCCAGAGUCCUACGGGAGGCAGCAGUGGGGAAUAUUGGACAAAGGGCGCAAGCCUGAUCCAGCCAUACCGCGUGGGUGAAGAAGGCCUUCGGGUUGUAAAGCCCUUUUGUUGGGAAAGAAAAGCAGCAGGUUAAUACCCCGCUGUUCUGACGGUACCCAAAGAAUAAGCACCGGCUAACUUCGUG